UCUCUUGAAUAUCAAAGGUGAGCCAGUACAGGAUGGACCCGCGUCUGAUUAGCUAGUUGGUAAGGUAACGGCUUACCAAGGCGACGAUCAGUAGCCGACCCGAGAGGGUGAUCGGCCACAUUGGAACGGAGACACGGUCCAAACUCCUACGGGAGGCAGCAGUGGGGAAUAUUGCACAAUGGGCGAAAGCCUGAUGCAGCAACGCCGCGUGAGGGAUGAAGGCCUUCGGGUCGUAAAACUCUGUCCUCAAGGAAG
RNAcentral lists this ribosomal RNA (255 nucleotides) under Clostridioides difficile. RNAcentral's name for it is "partial 16S ribosomal RNA". It matches the Rfam family "Bacterial small subunit ribosomal RNA", at positions 190 to 447 of the family's 1533-position model. The record is from RNAcentral. Lineage: Bacteria; Bacillati; Bacillota; Clostridia; Peptostreptococcales; Peptostreptococcaceae.